GAUGAACGCUGGCGGCGUGCCUAAUACAUGCCAGUCGAGCGAACAGACGAGGAGCUUGCUCCUCUGACGUUAGCGGCGGACGGGUGAGUAACACGUGGAUAACCUACCUAUAAGACUGGUAUAAUUUCGGGAAACCGGAGCUAAUACCGGAUAAUAUAUUGAACCGCAUGGUUCAAUAGUGAAAGACGGUUUUGCUGUCACUUCUAGAUGGAUCUGCGCCGCAUUAGCUAGUUGGUAAGGUAACGGCUUUCCAAGGCAACGAUGCGUAGCCGAACUGAGAGGGUGAUCGGCCACACUGGAACUGAACCGCGGUCCAGGCUCCUACGGGAGGCAGCAGUAGAGAAUCUUCCGCAGUGGGCGAAAGCCUGACGGAGCAACGCCGCGUGAGUGAUGAAGGUCUUCGGAUCGUAAAGCUCUGUUAUUAGGGAAGAACAAAUGUGUAAGUAACUAUGCACGUCGUGACGGUACCUAAUCAGAAAGCCACGGCUAACUACGUG
RNAcentral lists this ribosomal RNA (497 nucleotides) under uncultured bacterium. RNAcentral describes it as "partial 16S ribosomal RNA". It matches the Rfam family "Bacterial small subunit ribosomal RNA", at positions 28 to 507 of the family's 1533-position model. The record is from RNAcentral.